Otolemur garnettii (small-eared galago) is the source of this 108-nucleotide small nuclear RNA. Lineage: Eukaryota; Metazoa; Chordata; Mammalia; Primates; Galagidae. The record is from Ensembl.
AUGCUUAUUUCAGCAGCACAUAUACUAAAAUUGAAAUGAUACAGAAAAGAUCAGCAUAACCCCCUAUGCAAGGAUGACAUGCAAAUUAGUGAAGCAUGCCAUAUAUUU